GCUCAACCGAAGAAGUGCAUCGGAAACUGGGAAACUUGAGUGCAGAAGAGGACAGUGGAACUCCAUGUGUAGCGGUGAAAUGCGUAGAUAUAUGGAAGAACACCAGUGGCGAAGGCGGCUGUCUGGUCUGUAACUGACGCUGAGGCUCGAAAGUAUGGGUAGCAAACAGGAUUAGAUACCCUGGUAGUCCAUACCGUAAACGAUGAAUGCUAAGUGUUGGAGGGUUUCCGCCCUUCAGUGCUGCAGCUAACGCAUUAAGCAUUCCGCCUGGGGAGUACGGCCGCAAGGCUGAAACUCAAAGGAAUUGACGGGGGCCCACACAAGCGGUGGAGCAUGUGGUUUAAUUCGAAGCUACGCGAAGAACCUUACCAGGUCUUGACAUACUAUGCAAAUCUAAGAGAUUAGGCGUUCCCUUCGGGGACAGAAUGACAGGUGGUGCAUGGUUGUCGUCAGCUCGUGUCGUGAGAUGUUGGGUUAAGUCCCGCAACGAGCGCAACCCUUAUUGUUAGUUGCCAGCAUUCAGUUGGGCACUCUAGCAAGACUGCCGGUGACAAACCGGAGGAAGGUGGGGAUGACGUCAAAUCAUCAUGCCCCUUAUGACCUGGGCUACACACGUGCUACAAUGGACGGUACAACG
This 637-nucleotide ribosomal RNA is filed under the name uncultured bacterium. RNAcentral describes it as "bacterial SSU rRNA". It matches the Rfam family "Bacterial small subunit ribosomal RNA", at positions 607 to 1244 of the family's 1533-position model. The record is from RNAcentral.